CCUACUCAACUGGAAAGCCAGGGAGCACUUGUGCAGCAAGUCCCCAUCAUCAGUCGUCCUCAUGGACAAUCAUCUCCUGGAGCCGCCCAGACAGUACUAAGUUCAAUAAAACAAUGUUCAGCCGUAAGAUGCCGUCGCUGUCUAGUGAGGGUGGCAGUGCCUCCAAUUCCAAUAUCUAUCCAACAGAAAACUUGGCUUGAAGAUGCAUAGCUGAAGUCUCAUCAAGAAAGGAAAAGGUUAACCAGUGGGAGCCGCUGCCUCCCUUUCUCCUAUGAUCUGGAGACACUGAGAACAAGAAUGUCACGCUUCACAGGAACACCGGCAGGCCCGCCCUAAGUCUGACCGCAAUAUCUCUCACCCUC
Molecule: long non-coding RNA, 362 nt
Organism: Mauremys mutica (yellowpond turtle)
Lineage: Eukaryota; Metazoa; Chordata; Testudines; Geoemydidae
Exons: 4
Source: RefSeq, a predicted model, not a curated record